This 502-nucleotide ribosomal RNA is filed under the name uncultured Sphingobacteriales bacterium. RNAcentral's name for it is "bacterial SSU rRNA". It matches the Rfam family "Bacterial small subunit ribosomal RNA", at positions 903 to 1382 of the family's 1533-position model. The record is from RNAcentral. Lineage: Bacteria; Pseudomonadati; Bacteroidota; Sphingobacteriia; Sphingobacteriales.
CGCCUUGCCAGCCCGCUCAGAAACUCAAAGGAAUUGACGGGGGCCCGCACAAGCGGUGGAGCAUGUGGUUUAAUUCGAUGAUACGCGAGGAACCUUACCUGGGCUCAAAUGUAUGUUGACGUAUUCUGAAAGGGAUACUUCUUCGGACAAUAUACAAGGUGCUGCAUGGUUGUCGUCAGCUCGUGCCGUGAGGUGUCGGGUUAAGUCCCAUAACGAGCGCAACCCCUAUCAUUAGUUGCCAUCAGGUCAAGCUGGGGACUCUAAUGAAACUGCCUACGCAAGUAGUGAGGAAGGUGGGGAUGACGUCAAAUCAGCACGGCCCUUACGUCCAGGGCUACACACGUGCUACAAUGGCCGGUACAAAGGGCAGCUACCUGGUGACAGGAUGCUAAUCUCAAAAGCCGGUCUCAGUUCGGAUCGGAGUCUGCAACCCGACUCCGUGAAGUCGGAAUCGCUAGUAAUCGUGAAUCAGAAUGUCACGGUGAAUACGUUCCCGGGCCUU